GCUGGCGGCAGGCCUAACACAUGCAAGUCGAGCGCCCCGCAAGGGGAGCGGCAGACGGGAGAGUAACACGUGGGAACGUACCCUUCAGUUCGGAACAACCCAGGGAAACUUGGGCUAAUACCGGAUACGUCCGUAAGGAGAAAGAUUUAUCGCUGAAGGAUCGGCCCGCGUCUGAUUAGCUUGUUGGUGAGGUAACGGCUCACCAAGGCUACGAUCAGUAGCUGGUCUGAGAGGAUGAUCAGCCUCACUGGGACUGAGACACGGCCCAGACUCCUACGGGAGGCAGCAGUGGGGAAUAUUGGACAAUGGGCGCAAGCCUGAUCCAGCCAUGCCGCGUGGGUGAUGAAGGCCCUAGGGUUGGAAAGCCCUUUCGGCGGGGAAGAUAAUGACGGUACCCGCAGAAGAAGCCCCGGCUAACUUCGUGCCAGCAGCCGCGGUAAUACGAAGGGGGCCUAGCGUUGCCUCGGAAUCACUGGGCGUAAAGCGCACGUAGGCGGCUUUUUAAGUCA
Molecule: ribosomal RNA, 509 nt
Filed under: uncultured soil bacterium
Lineage: Bacteria
Description: bacterial SSU rRNA
Rfam family: Bacterial small subunit ribosomal RNA
Source: RNAcentral